Molecule: ribosomal RNA, 777 nt
Filed under: Triticum aestivum (bread wheat)
Lineage: Eukaryota; Viridiplantae; Streptophyta; Magnoliopsida; Poales; Poaceae
Description: partial small subunit ribosomal RNA
Source: RNAcentral
AUGGGGCUGUCUGCCGCCGCCGGUCCAUCAGUCCUCGGGAGGAGCCUGAGGAGAGCCGCGAUGUCCUCCACCAAUGGCGAGGGUGGCUCGGCCACCCCCAAGACGAUGGGCACGUUCACGCUGCCCGCGGCCUUCAGAGUGCGGCCGUCGUGCGUAGACGUGAUGGUCGCGGCGGCCACGAGGAAGAGAAUGGCGAGAAUUGCGAGCCGAGCCAUGGCUGAGCUUUGGGAGAUUUUGGUCCCCAUUCCCGUCCGCAUCCCUGCCGCCGCCGCCGCCCUCCCAAUUCCCUCCGCUCCUGCUGCUUCCCUCCACCUCUCCCUCCUCCACGCCGUCAGGGGCGCCCUUCAAGCCCCACCUCGUCGGUUCCCCACCCCGAGCUCCUUCUCCCCCAUCCCGGGCGAGCACUGGAUAGGCAGAGGGAGUGCCUUGGUCGAGGGACAACGAGGCUCGCCGGCUGGGCGACUUCGAGCGCUGGAGGCUAGACAGGCACAGGCAGGAGCGGAUCCAUGUAGGGGCAUGGGUGCCGUCGCGCCAUUGAAGGCCUCCACGACGCCCUCUACCAGCUCGCACUAUUGCUCCGGAAAAUUCCCUUUGGAAUUGGGGAUGAAGGAAUCGAUUUCGAUUGAUUGGCGCCCCGCAGACGACGGGCGUGGGACGCCGCGGGAGGCGUGCCGCAUUCGAGAGCCACCGUGGAUUAUCUUCGAGGUGUCAGGCGACAUUCGCCUCGAGACCUACCUCCGGGUCUCUUCCCACAUGACCAUUGACGGGCGCGGGUAG